This 29674-nucleotide long non-coding RNA is filed under the name Eucalyptus grandis. RNAcentral's name for it is "long non-coding RNA (EGRA_LNC000089)". Lineage: Eukaryota; Viridiplantae; Streptophyta; Magnoliopsida; Myrtales; Myrtaceae. The record is from RNAcentral.
UCCUUGUCAUGCUUUCAUUUCGUGUUCUAGACAUUUUUACUAUCGCUAUUGUUGGAACGUGGCGAAGACAAAGUCACUUUCUAUCAUCCGGGUCAUUUUCCCUAAACAGUAACAGUAUCCUAUGAAAAAACUUAUCUGCUUUACUAGGAAUGACAGAUUUUCUGAGAUGUUCGAAUAAAGAGGGUGAAGAAGAGAAACAGCACAUAUUUGUCAUUCAAGUAUCCGAAAGCUUGCGAAAAUUAGAAGAAAGAUGUGGGUAAUGACAUUUUCGAUAGUGAGAGAUGAAUCGCUUAGAAAUUCAUCGAUUACUCGUUGUGUGCCUUUUUCCUGGCCAACUUUCUAUCCGUUUCGACCGAGGUCACAAAGUCCCCUUUCUUUUGUUCAAAAGUCUUCAAUUCAACCUGAGUUACAUCAUCGUCAGCAUUCGAGAACAUGGGACCCAAAUUCCAUCUGUAAAAGCCAGACCUUUUCGUUGCACAAUUAGUCAAUGAGACAAGAACAGAUCACAUGGAAUGUCUAAGCUCUGUCUUAAUCAUUGGGUUUCCCAUUCAUUUUGCUGGCCCCAAACAUACUCUGUGUGGUCCUCAUUAAGAAGAGAAAUUUAGAUUUAUAGUACUGGGUUAUAGCAAUCACUUGCCAGAGGAGGUGGGAUGGAGUUGACCAAAAAGGAUCCAGAGCCCAUAUGUUCCCAGUAGAGCAUUUCAAUCUUAAACCAUGAUCUCAUCUGAUAGAUUGGCCUUCAACAUAGCAGCAGUCUGACAAUUUCUACAUAAUACUGGAAUAGGGGAUCAUGCUUUGCCUCCUCAUAUAAUUCGAUUGUUGCAUUUUAGCCUCAACAAUGGUCUCGCAAUUUCAUGUGCCACAUGUUCACCUCUCUAUGGAGACUGUCUACAUAUCAUUUCGCAAUUGUAAUGAAUCUAUGGGAUAAUGCUGUUUCGAUGUAUUGACUGCAAUUUAAUUAUCUUGGGUUGCAUCAGGUUGUGGCAUACCUCCUAAUAUCGGCAGCAUCUACGGCCGUGCCCAUGACCAACAAGAUGAGAGACAAUGUCGAUAACCUGUUCACCGACUGCUUAGCGGCUUCAAUAAGCAUGGCCUUCUUUGGCUUCCUCACGUUGGCUUUGUCUGCACUUAUUUCCGGAUACAAACUCUCAACCCAGUCCUACAUUUAGUUUUGAGUUCGUUCAGCUCACAUGUCUAUUGCUUGUACUGCUGUUAUACCUUCAUUCUUUUUAUGCACGGGGUUCGAUUAUAUCUUUGUAAAUUUCGAUGGUUUCGUGGAAGGAGUGGUGUGUUUCGGCUUGCCUCUGUAUUUUAGUUUUUGGGUGUUUCAAUCGGUAAAUAUGUACGAUGAAGAAGGUUUAGAAAGUCAGUUGGUCUCUCUCCAAUUCUCUGGCUACGAUGAAGAGAUUCUACUCGACCAUUCAUAAACCAAAUCAUCCCCAGACGAGAAGCAGGACCAGUGUAAUCUGUACAUGAGCAUUCAUUAACAGUUUUUUUUUUUAAUGGUUGAAAAUACGAUUACUAUUGAUUUACUUAGGCAAGUUUGGAGCAAAUACAUCAAAAGCAUCGGCGCAUAAUAAUAAAUCAAAGAGGGCGUUCGGGGGAUUAGCUACCUAAUUACUAGGAAGGCAGUUAGCUCUUUGGGCUUUUGUAAGCCAAUCUUGCUUAUUUAUUGAUUCUCUGCUGCAAUGGGCUAGAGAGAAGCCUGGAAAUUCCUUUAGCUUUGUCCAUGAGCAUUCAUUAACAGUUAAAAGACAGAUAAAUUGCAGGUUCUGUUGUUCGUUGUCUUAAAUAUGCGAAAACCGUCUCUUUGCAUAAGGAAACAACACAAGAAGUUAAUAACAUGCAUGAUAAUAAUUCUAUUUUUGUUUCAGAACUAUUUUUCUAUUUCAGAAAGAAGUCUAGAAUAGAAAUUCGUUUGAUAAUGCAAUGUCAUCUUCCUAUUUCUAAAACAAAUUUUUUGUCCAAAAAUUGGUUUGAAAAAUAAAUAAAAAGUAAACAUUUUCUCCUUCUCUAUUUUUGGAACAUAAAUGAUAAAUAAAUUUUUUUCUCAUCGCUCGCCAUUGCUACUAGUUGGUCGCCCACCCACCACCGCUUGCCGUUUGCCACCUGGCCAUUGCUCACUGCCUACCUGCCGCCCAUCAUCCGCCGUCCAUCGUUUGCUAGUGCCCAGUUGGGAGAAAUUUUGUGUCAUUAUCAAAUGAAUUUCUAUCCCAAAAAUAUAAAUUUUGUGUCGUUAUCAAACAUGUUUUUUUCUUAGAAACUCAUCCACAAAUAGAAAUAGAAAAAUCUAUUUUUGUUCUAUAAAUCAAUUUUUGGCCAUUAUUAUCAAACAUGUAUUUUUCCUCAAAAACUCACCCACAAAUAGAAAUAGAAAAAAUCCAUUUCUGUUUCAUAAAUCAAUUUCUGAUCAGAAUGGUUAUCAUUCACGCUCUAACGGAGAGGAUUUGGCAAAUGUAGAAGCAGCAUUUUCGUGUUUGAAACACAUCCUAAAAUAGAGUUGCAGUUUUCAUCUCUCAAUCUUAUUAAAAUCUUGAUAGUUGAAGUUGCCACAUUUAUCUAACUGCAGAGGAUUCUUACCUGUGAUCUAGCUCUAUAGGUUCUUGCAGAUUAUCCUAAAACAGCACAGAAUAUAUAAAAAUUUGCUCGCGUGCUUUAACUCGGACAACUUUCCGAAGGUCGUCUCAUCAACCGAUUGCCCAGGUGAGUGAUCUUUUCAAAAUGAAUGAGAUGCUUGCGCGCACGAUAAACAUGCGAAGUAUACAGAAUCGCCGACAGCGUAACCGCUAGAAAAGAUAACAGCAUCAGCUUCCAGAAGUCCUGAUGCAAUAACCACAAUUUGAGAAGUUAGAUUCUGAAGCAAAAGAUGCCCAGACUUGAGAGGGGGAAAAAGAAAAAACAGAGUUCACAGACGGUGCAUCAUCCAUUUAAUUGAAGCAGCACUCAGAAUCAAUCACCUGUGGAUUCGAGAUGAAUAUUCCCAUAACAUAAGCCAUCAAAUCCAGAAAGGACUGGAGUGAGUUCUGAACGCCUCCAACGACGCAUCGGUCGGAUUCUGGCACCUCGUCCUGCCAAAAAGCCAACGAGAGAAAUGAGGAAAGACAACAGAAGUCUCCAGGCCAGGCAAUGAACAAGUGUUCCAACUGUGUAUGGUUAGGAAAGAAUAGAUCAGGAAUUAUGCUGGUGAGACUGUCCAUAAAAUCAGCCACUUAUACUGUCAUUUUGGAGACUCGAACUUCUGAAAUCAAAGUAAAUAACCUGCAUUUGUUGAAUAACAGCUAAAUCGAACAUCCACAGUCCCAGUCGAGAUGCCGCCACUCCUCCCAUCAGCAUGUAGGCAGCUGCUAAGCCAUUUUGAACCCAUAUCGAGCCGACACAUACAAGCAGGAAGAUCCACUGCAAUAGAUUUUAAGAAUAUAUCCAUGUCAUGCUUUAAAAAAUCUACUGACUAAAAAUCCCUAGAAAGUAAGAACUCGUCACCGUACUUGGGACCAACAAGACCAGAGCCCUGUUCUUAGUGUAGAAAUGCGGGAUUGUAAGACUGGAUAAACCACAGUGGCUGCAAUGCCUAUUGUCGCACUUAUGCCGCGUGCUAUUCCGAUGAGAAAUGCCGGUACACCUUCCCACUCCAAUGUAGCGGUCAUCAAACUUCCGAAGCUGUAGAAUUUGAAACCAAACAAUUAAAUUCUUCUACUUGAAAAAGCAAUCGAAUUAGAGCAAUAAAGACCUGAGAUAACUUUCACACUGCCUUGAUGAUUGAGAAGCAGUGAGAAAUGCCUUCUCAUAGAUAGCACGAGAAAAUGACAAUAACAUUGAGAUAGCCUCAAAUUUGAUGCGAGCACAAAUUUAUCAUACACAUUUUCCACAAAAGAUGAGUUUUCUAGACAAAAUAGUAUAACUGGGCCGAAGAAAAAUGAAUAUUUGUGGGCAGAUCGGUCUUUCUACGGGAAGGGAAAUUGCAAGUUCCAUGAUUAGUUCUAGAUAUAUAAUUGCAGAGUGAAUUUCUAGUACAUCACCUGAGGACUGUAAAAUACAACAAAGCCAGGGAUACUCCAGGAAUCACAACUUCUUGCUCUAGGUACAAUUUCCAAGCGCCAAUGAAGGGAAUCUUUGAAAUUUUCUCCCCGAAAUUCUGCUUUUGGCUGUUCUCUGCUGAUUCUGGAUCACCAUUUUGAAUUAGUGAGCUCUCUAACAGGUCAACCGGAGGUCUCCAGGUUCUUCUCAGGUUUCUCUCAACAAGAGCCGGAAUACCCUUAUAUACAGACAUGAAAAACCAGUACUCCAGCCAAACACAUGUUGUGUUCAAUAUGGCUAAAGUCAUAGCAGAUACUUUUAGUGAAAUAAAGCUGAUUAUGAAGCCGGAAACAACUGGAGCAAAUAAUUUGCAGAUCAGAUCGAUCCUUCUGAUGACCGAGUUCAUCUGGGUCAGAAGUCCUGGAGGUUGACCUUCUGACAUCACCACCACCCUGCAUUUAGAGGCAUAAUUAUGAGGCAAAAUAAAUUAAAACAAGAGUUUGUAGCAAAAAGAUACCAGAAAACUGUUCUCUACUCAAUUCACCAAAAGACUAGAGGCAUACUACGUGGAACAGACUCUAACUAUGGUUCUAAACCCUGCAUUACCAUUCUCUUUCAAUCAAAAUUGUUCCAGCCAAAGUAGAAAGCAUGCCCAUGGCUCCCGAAAGAUUGGUCACGACGAUGAGCACAAUGAACACUCCAGGAUUUGUUGAUUUCAGAUCUGGAUAGGCCAGCAUACCAAAGACCGUGGCUCCAGCCACCACGAAUGAGAAGUUUUGGGUCACGAGCCAGAGGCGUAGAACCUGCAACAAGUAUGUGAUAUUACAAAAACAAUUCGAACUCAUCCUAGUAUUCUGAGCAAUUAUUUUCUCUCUGAAAAAUGCUUGUUUAGUUCCAACUUCGGUUGCGGCAUUUGGACCUAAAGUGCCAUCCAAUAUCUUUUGUUCUGUUCCUGAAUUGAGAACUUUGAGAAUUGAAGUUUAUCGGACCUUGACAUAACCCAGCUUAUCUACCCACUCUCCAAUGGUAGGACCAAGCAAGAAUAUGGAGCCAGAUUCUACCACUCCGUAGACAGCGGCCAAUAGCAAAGAGUCUGGCCAAAUACUGAUCAUGUACAAACCUACCGAGAAUUCCCACAUCCUGCAAGACAAGAGGACAUUAUAUCACAUGGACAGGUGACACAUCCAGUUGCCUCCUUUCCGUUUCAUUCAAGUUAGAUCAAAAUGAACCGUGGCCUUACCAAGGUUUGAUUUUUCUAAAGAAUUGCACAUACCAAAAUUUCCAGAACUACUGAAUAGGUUGGGUCAAGAUUUUAUUUCACCAAGAACUGUGUAAAGGAUAUGUACGCAUGCCUAAACAAAAGAAGACAAGCUGUUUGAUUGCUAUACUCUUUUACUCUUUUACCUGAUCCUGCUAUAUGAUUUUUCUAAAGAAUUGCACAUACCAAAAUUUCCAGAACUACUGAAUAGGUUGGGUCAAGAUUUUAUUUCACCAAGAACUGUGUAAAGGAUAUGUACGCAUGCCUAAACAAAAGAAGACGAGCUGUUUGAUUGCUUACUCUUUUACCUGAUCCUGCUAUAUGCAUCUGGCAUACUGCUGAAAGGCACAAGCUUUUCCUUUUGCUAUUUAUUUUUUCCAUUUUCCUUAUUACCUGAUAAAUUGAAGCUAGUCAAUCCAUCCCGCACAGCAGCUACUGGAACAACUGCCUUUUUUUGCUAGAUAGAACUGGUAAACAUCGGUUUGCGACUCAUUUUCAAGUUUUGGCCAUGGAAGGGAAAGAAAUUACUUUUUGGCUGAGAUAAUUGAAUUAUGUUGUUGAAACUAUCUUCUCAAUUCAAAAACUAUGAUGUUGAAGUGAUAAUAGCAAAUCAGCCUUUCUAAGCAAUGAGAGGAAAAUGGAAGAAUGAAAAGUUAAAGCUUGCCAAAUUUAAAAACAUCUCAAGCUUGAAUUGUAUGAAGAGUACUAUGCUGAACUGUGCUCCAUGAAGAACAUGUUCUCUUUCACAUUAUUAGCAAGUGUUCUUUAUGAUGGGUGAAUCUGAACUAUUGCCAAAGUUGAAGCAAAAUGAAAAGUGUAACCUGGCACCCCAUCUGGCCAAGAAGUGGCCCAAGUACAAAUAUUUGGUGAGGAACGACGGAAAAGACGGCUGUUGAGCACCCGAUUUGCGAUCAAGGAGCGGCUCCCUCAUCAUGUUAUGUCGCUGCGCUGACUUCUUGAAUGAUACCAAGUCGUUCCUCCUCUUCUUCUUCUUCCAGUGAAUUGUGGAUGGGAUGAACGAUUGGGAUGCGGAUCUCUACUUCAUAUUGUGACCGCUCACUGCAUCCAAAAUGAUGAUAGGCUUUAAGUUGUACUAUACGGUUAUGACGAUUGCCCUGUUUUUUGGUGUGAAUGAUGAAAGUGAUGCAAAUGGUAUCAAGAAAGUUGGUCCCUUAUAUUGCACACUUGGUUUCACCAAAAAAAAAUAAAAAUUAAAAAAUUAAAAAAUUAAAAAAACAAGAUUAAAUCCUGAGAACUGAGAAGAAAACGGAUAAAGAAAUCAAAACUAUGGGGGUUAGGUGCACAUGGCUACUCAGAUAUUGUCUACAAGCUGUCAGCUGUCUGACUGCUGAUCUCUGUUUUUUUCCAUGCGAGCAAGAAACAAAGAAAACCUCAAAAACAAUGUUCAAAUCCUUGGAUUCAGUAGGAUCCGAAUAUGGUGGGACCUUUGUCCAGAGAGCAAGUAAACGGCUUCAAUAAGAAAAGAGGGCCUGAGAGCAAUGGUCAAACCUUUGGAUUACAAAAUGCCAAAUGCCUAAUGUUGGAAAAGGUAACACGGAGCGUUCCGCUGUAAGAUUAUUCACGUGGGUUUGUCUUUUCUGUCAAAGGGUUAGGAUCCAAGAACAGCGAAACAUAUGUUUGUGUCUCAUCCCUAACACCAGCUGCCCCGAGGAUCCAAGGUCAGAAUCAGAUCGGGACAGUGGAAGAUAGAAUAGUUCACUUCUUUUUUGAUUUUUUUCUUUCUCCAUUUUGCCUGUCAGAGAGCUAAAUUAUUUCCUUUCCUUCUCCAGAAGCACAUCUAAUUUGGACUUCUAUGAGCCUGCCAUGCCCAGAUAGAUAAGCCUGGUGACACCCCUUUGUUGCAAGGAAAGAAGCCCAGCUUGAGAGGGCAGAACUUCUGGGGAAUACUGGAGAAGAAGUUGCAAUAUCAAUUUGCUGAUUUUGGAUACUGAUGAAGCAAGAGUUGCUCAUUUCUAAGACUUGGGCAUUAGAUAAUGUUGAUCGAAAAAUAAAAGAAUAGAUAGAACGAGGAACAAUGGAUUUAUAUGGUUUAGUUAGAGUGACCUACAACAUGGAGAGAGUAGAGAGCAAUACAAGAUUCUGCUAUAGAUCAAAUGGUAUAAUAGAAAUUAAAACCACACUCGACUUGAGUUAUUCUUUCUUUCAAUGACUCAUGCUCAUCUCUUGAAUGCAAUCCAGGAAGAAGCCCAUUCUUACAAUUGAGAAAACACCUAUUAUUUAUUGAGGGACUAGGACACUAAACUAGAAAACAUGGGAAAUAUUAAACUAAGAAACGUUAAAUUAGGAAAUUUUAAACUAGGAAACUUGGAAUUAGAAAACAUUUAGGAAACCAACUUUAAUAGGAAACCUUUGACUCACAAAGGAAACCAAAUUGCAAACUAGGAAACGUAAAAUUAGAUAAUCUUUGAAAAAGGAAUGUGUUUAUUCUUCAACCCUCUUGAAAAUCCUUCUGGAAUACUUUUUCCUUGUUAGACCUUUGUGCUCCCACAUAAUCUAUAUGUAAGAAACUUGGGAUGCAAAAUAGAAAAUCUCAACCAAAAGUCAAUUUCUAUUAGGUUUUUUUAUGGAUUUAAAUUCGAGAAAUAUUUCCAACAGAUGAUUACCGAAAAUAAAAAGAAGAAGAAGAAGAAGAAGAAGAAAAGGAGCUAUCAGAUGAUGAAUUUAUGACAUUCAUCUCCUAGUUUCUCCUGCACAAAUUCAUCGGUAGCAAGAAACCAUUUGGACGAGACCCUGUUCAAUUACCGCGGAUCAUUUUCAUAUCCCAAAAAAUGUAGCACGAAGAACAUGGAGACGUCUGGAGAUGACACUACGUCCGGCAUAAUGAUCAUCUCGAUCGCGAAAAGAAAAGGAAAUGCUACAAAGUCAGAUAGUCAUUCAUCAGAACCUGUAAUAAACAGUCACAUCCAUAUCAUUGUAGCUCGAUCAUGAUGCAGCCGAUCGACCUUCCUCAGGAUUCAACUGCCUUAUCGUCUCAAUCAAUUGGAGCUGAUUGGCGCGCGGAUUGUUGUCGUGGAGGAAUCUCUUCCUCGGGGCCGAACUUCGCGGGUCUAACAUUCAAGAUGAGCGGUAACUAGCAUCUGAUAAAGCCGCCAUCAUAAAAAAAGACUGCAGAUGGAUAUCAAAUAGGAGCAAGUAAAACAUACGUAACAUGAUAAAGACAUCCAGGAACAGUCUGCACAUGAUGGUCAUCUGAGUGUUCCGGCAUCCUCUGCAUUAAUGUAUGCGCGAUGACCUUUCCAGGAUAUCGUUUCUUACCAUGCUGUCAUUAUUUUAAUGCACGAACCUCUCGUUUGCGGAGUUUUGGGCCCUGGAUGCCCGGUUUACCUUUCUUUGGCUCUGCUCUUCAAACGCUUUUGAAACUUCUUCUGCGUGUGCUUGGACGACAAUGACCUGACUUUAGAACCAGGAAAGAAAUACGAGGUUGGCAAGUGCUUUUUGCCCAUUCACAAAAUAAUGCCAAAGCUAGCAGAUCUUGCGGUUCAAAUCUCAAGACAAAAUAAUAAUAAUAAUAAUAAUAAUAAUAAUAAUAAUAAUAAUAAUAAUAAUAAUAAUAAAUAAAUAAAUAAAUAAAUAAAUAAAUAAAUAAAUAAAAAAUUUAAAAAAAUUAUCAUAAGAGUCAACGUGAAAUGAUCAAGAGCACCAAAAAUUUAAUUGAUUCGGUCCGAGUGUUGCUACUUGCAACCCAUUGGGAGAGCCAGUUAUAAAAAAAACUCACUAUCAAUCCAAGAGUUACAAAGUUCAGAAUGAUCAUCCAAAAAAUCAUAAAUUUAUUGUACGGCAAUCAAUUCAAUUCUAAACAUUUAAUUUGAUUAGUUUAACCCUAAAUUUUUAGACAAUUUGACAAUUUAGUCAUUCCGAUUAAUUUUGGUUUGAGAAAAUUGACGCAAAUGGUUUUGCAAUUUUUUUCUCUUCUUUUUCCUAUUUCCCUCGGUCAAUUGCUAAGUAUCACCGAUGGCCAACGGUGGUUGUCGGCCACAAGCUAGGGCCAACAAGGAUUGGGACACCCUCGUUGGCAUUAGUCCUCACCAGAUUUGGGUAAGGGGUGGUUGGUGAGGGUGGUCCUCGCCAGAUCCAAUGAAGGUAACCCUUGCCUAUGGCCGGCAACCAAUGGAAGGAAUAAAAAAAAUUGAACAAAAAGAAAAUAAAAUUUUCAAAACAUAAAAAGAUUGUAAAAAUCCUCUAUAUUAGCACUUGCCAUGUCAUGUAGGACUACUGGUACUGAUUGGAUCGUUACGUUAGUAAUUUCAAGCCAAAAUUAAUUUGAAGGACUAAAUUGAUAAAUCAUCAAAAAGUUUAGGAGUAUAUUAAUUAAAUUUAAAAAUUUAGGAUUUAAUUAGCCGCAUUCUAGUAAGUUUAUAACUUUUUGGACAACUUUUCUUAUAGAGUCACAAUCAAUCACUCAAGCUCUCGCGUGUCUCCAAUAUUCCAAUGUACGAAUCCUCACAAGCCUAGUAAUUAUCACACCAAGUUUCGCAAGAAGCUAAAAAAAAACACCUCCGCCGUGUUCGUGUUCUCAAAAAGAAAAAAGGUCAAAAUCAGACUUUUAAACCCGAGAUCACGUCCAUACUGGAUGAUCAUUAGCGAAAUUAGUAGGCUAGGUGCCGCUCAGGGCGGGCAACUCGGCCGCAAGCUGGCCGAUCACCUGGCCCAUGCCUAGUAAAUUUCAGCUACUAGGCUUAACCCGACCGCCAUCCCCGGCCUUUCGGUCUAUGUGCUGAGUCCCUUCUUUUAUCGCGCCACGAACGCCUUCUAACUUGUCAUGGACCUAACUCAAUCUUCAGGCUCCAAUGUAAACUCGGACUCAGCAAGAAUUUGAGCCACAAACUCAACAGGCCGGAUGGCUAGGUUCAGAUCAUGUCCGGUUAAUUCAGUUCAAUGAACAGUGAAAGCAGUUUCCUUCCUGUUCCAACCAACCCUGUCCCGCUCAUUUUUGUCCUGAUGAUCUUCAUGGACGAUACUAGGCAAGCGUUUUGCGGCUAGAUUGCAUGGCUUGUCCUUUCCAGGAGCUUCAGUCCAAGCCCCCCCUCAAUGAUCAGAUCCAUCCAGUGGUCCAAGCACUCAUGCGAAACCACUACUUGCUAACAAAAUCAAAGAAAAUUUUCUCCAUCGACAAUAUGGGCGAAUGCAGAAGAUUUCAAUUGGAAAUGGAGUAAAUCUGCAAUGGAUUUUGCCAAAGCUCAGCACAUCAUGCAUUAGGAAUUCAAGUCGAAUGACUUCAUCAAAAGUUAACUCAGGUGUCAGGAAAUUGAAGUUCAGCAGAACUCAAAAGUGUGGUAACAGGAAGUGUAAUUUUUUUCCGGAUUGCAUCUUAAGCAUGUGAAAAAAUACUCUGCAUGGCGUAUAAGAAAGCAUGUAAAACAAACAGAUGAAUUUUGCAAAUGUGAAAGCACCAGCCCAUAUUCCUAUAAACAUACCGAAGUCCUUGAUUGUAUUUCUCAAUCCGACAUCAAAAUCCUAUUAGGACAGUCUGCACUGUCAUCGUAUUCUAUUUUACACAGAAUUGCCAGGUGUCAUAGCAUAAGUGGCUCAUCGUGGAAUACGAUAUCGGUCGACAAAUAUAACAAGAUUCUUAAAAUGUCCUAGAAUAGCACUAAAUGAAGUUCACACGUUCUGACUCUGGUGGGUGUCUGGAGACCGUACGAUUGACCAACUUCUCAGCAAAAUGAGCUUCUCAAAAUGGAUCGGGUGCUUGCGGACAUGGUACACAUGGAAAGUAUAUAAAGAUGCCGAUAGGGUAGUAAACAGAAAUGAUAACAAAAUCAACUUCCAGAAAUCCUGAUGCAGUAGCCACAAAUCUAUAUUCAGUUAGAUUGUAAAUCAAAAGUUUGACCAACUUUAGAUAAUUAGCACACAUGAUACAAGUAACAUAUUAUCCAUACUGCCAUAGGAAGUAGAAGCAAUGGUGAUCACCUGUGGAUUUGAGAUGAUUAUUCCCAUACCAUAAGCCAUCACAUGCAAGGUGGACUGAAGUGAACUUUGGGCACCUCCAGCAACGCAACGAUCAGAUUCUGAAACCUUAUCCUGCCAAAAACGAGAAGAGGGCCAGAACAGAAAGUGAUAUUUCAGGUAUGAGAAUUUGUGAACCACUGCAAGAAACUAUUUUUGUGUAGAACGGCAUCAAAGUAUCCCACCAAAAGUUAAAGCUAGUAAAUGUGAAUGAAACCAUUUGAAGAACGCACAGGGAGCUGAAGAAUGAGGAAGAAGAUGAACAAGGAAUAAACUCAUAAGACGAUAUACUAAAUGGCGAGUGAAGAUAACAAAUUAUGGGUUUGAUACCAGUUAAAAGGAUCCAAGCCAAAAGCUUAAACAAGUAGGUGAAAGAGAUCAAGCUAAACCUCAACCACAGAUACGUCAAGAAUGCUUGUGAGAUGUCUAGGCAAUGAACGACUGGUGCUAUUCUUUUGAGUUAUAAUUGAAACGGAAGUAGAUAACCUGCAUCUGUUGAAUGACGGCUAAAUCAAACAUCCACAAUCCCAGUCGAGAUGCCGCCACUCCACCCAUCAGCAUAUAGGCAGCUAUUAUGCUGUUUUGGACCCAUAUUGACCCAACACAUAGAAGCAGUAAAGUCCACUGCAAUAGUUUCACAUAAUGCAGAGUUCAGUUGUUUUUCACUGAUCAGUACACCCAAAAAAGUCCCAUACAAGUUGGUACUCGAAAAAUAUACCUGGGACCAGAUGGACCAGAGCCCAGUUCAGAGCGUGGAAAUAUCAAGAACCUCGAUUGAUCACCCCGUUUUUUACCCUUUUAGAGGAAAGCUAAACGUCAAUAGUAGUAGAUUAUAGGUAAGUCCUGUAAACUAAUGCGAAAGAAAUGAACUUUGAGGGUCCGUCAGUUUCCAGUGUGUUACCUGAGAACUGUAAAAUACAACAAAGCUAGCACAAUUCCAGGAAGCACAACUUCUUGCUCAAAGUACACUCUCCAAGCACUUACUAGGGGCAGAUUUGCAAUUUUCUCACCAAGACUUCUCUUUCGGCUUUUUUCUGCAUUUGCUGGAUGAUCAUCAUCUGGAACAGACAAGCUCUCUGUCAGUUCAGCAGGAAAAGGUUUCUGGGUUCUUUGUCGGUUUCGCUCAGCUAGAGCAGGAAUCCCCUGAUAUACUGACAUGAAAAGCCAGUACUCCGGCCAAACACUGAUGGUGCUCAAAACUGCCAAAGUCUGAUACAACAGCGGCAAACAACUUGCAGAUCAGAUCAAUCAGUCUUAUAACUGAAUUCAUCCGAGUAAGGAGUAUAGGGGCUUGGCCUUCCGACAUCACCACCACCCUGCAUUUAGAGGCACAUUAAAAGCAAAUUUGAAAAGGAAAAAAAAAGAAGAGAGAGAGAACAGUAUGCCUAUGGGAUGCUGGUAUUCAAGCUCAAUACUAUUACCAUUCUCUUUCAAUCAAGAUUGUUCCAGCAAGAGUGGAAAGCACGCCAACAGCUCCAGAAACAUUGGUCAAAAGGAUGAGCAAGACAAAAGCUUGAACACUUGUGGACUUCAAAUCUGGGUAGGCUAGCAAACCCAGAACCGUUCCUCCAGCAAAUAUGAAUGAAAAAUUCUGUGUCACGAGCCAAAGCUGGAGAACCUGCAACAAAUAUUUGACCCUCCUUGAAUGUAAAAUCGCACAGUUAUCAUAUUAAAAUAAACUGGUAUACUGUAAAAUGCGGAGCUAAAGUCCUGUUCAAUGUUUUCUUAGGUGCUGUAGUACAUGAAGAAUUGUAAGUCCAUCAGACCUUGACAUAACUCAGUCUAUCCACCCACUACCCAAUUAUCGGGCUGAACAAAGGCAGUGGAGGCAUUUUCCACCACUCCAUAGACAGCGGCCAACAGUAAAGAGUCUGGCCAAAUGUUGAUCAGGUAUAAGGCCACAGAGAAAUCCCACAUCCUGCAAGACAAGCAGGCAUGAAAGAUACUUCAUUUCCAAAUGGAGAGGGUAUCAAGAGAGAAGAUAAUCUGAGAAUAAAGCCGUUAGUUUAUUGAGAAUUGCCACACUUAUAUGGUCAAUUCAAGUAAAAGACUGACAUGAAAUUUAAUUGGCCAUGGGACCAAUUUUCCUAAUGAACGGCAUAAGACAGUUUUCACAGUUCGUUGAUGAACUGGGGCACAUUGAUGUUUCCACUAGCAAUCGUGUACCAUUUAUGAAUCAAUGUAUAGCAGAAAACAAGAGAUGUUAUCCUGUAACGUGAGUACUACUGAAAGGAAGCUAGGAUGUUCUCUUCAUCAUUCUUCCUAUCACUCUUUACCAGGUAAGUUCAGGAUUUGUACCAAGAAUUGGUAAUUUUUCGUUGGAACAAGAAUUUACAUCCCAUCAACACUUACUACAACUAGGACAACAAACUUGUGUAUUUUCCCACUAAACAGGGAGUAACCUCUCGUUUGGCGACUAGAAAGCAUUUCUUUGGUUGAAGUGAUUAGGCUACAUAGUCUAAACAGCAAAACCUUCAAUCGAAUCCAAAAACUUUGAUGUUCCAGUGACAUUAUAUCAGGCACGGAGGAGAAGGAUGGAUAUGUGAAGACACCAAUUGGGACAAUUUGAAAUGAUGGAAAGGUUUUGUUAUAUUCAAAAUAGGAAUGAUACAGAGAGUACGCAAACACGCUCGUAUAAAAGACUGAGAAGAGCACAUCAUCAUGUCCUGAGGAGAGCAUACUCAGAACAGCAACAGAACUUUUAGGAGAGUUGAACCAAAGUAAAUAGCACAGAACCUGGCACCCCAUCUGGCCAGGAAGUGGCCCGAGUACAAAUAUUUGGUGAGGUGCAAUGGGGAAGAGGGCUGUGGAGAAGACGUUUCAUGGUCGAGGAGCGGCUCCCUCAUCAUCUCUAUGGUAGGCAGUACUGAUCGAAUAAAAUAGCUGAAGCGUUGAUCUUGACGUUUACAGGCGCAUGAAUAUGAUGAUAACUAGACCCAUCAAAUGAUUGGGUAGGGUCGAGUUUGGGUCGGGUUGAAAAUGGGUCGACCCAUAUUUAACCCAUUUAACCCAUUUUGACUCAUAUUGAUGUAAUGUAAAUCAAGUGACCCAUACUCGACUCGAUCUGUAUUGCUAAAACCUAUUAAUAUUUUAAGAAAACACACUUCUAUUAUAUGCUAAUUAGAUUAAAACUUCAAAUUAAAUUAAAAAUAGUACAUAAAAUAAUUUUUUAAAAAACCUAUAAAUUGAAAUAUUUAUAAAAAAAAAUUAGACUAUGCACAUGCUUUUCUUAUUUGAAGUGAACAUAUCAUUGAAUAACUAAAAACUGUAACACGAAAUUUUUUUAACUAAGCCUAAAAAAGCUCAUUUUUAUGAUUUUUUUUUAUAAUUCUUUCUAAAAUAAUUUUUAAAAAUCGAUUUUUUAUUUUUUAAAUAUAAAAUUUUAAUUAUUUUUUAAAAUAUAAUUUUUAAUUUUUAAUAAUUAUUUUUUCUUUUUCUCUUUUCUUUUUUCUUCUUCUUCGCCCGGUCGUCGUCCGGCGAGGCUUGCUAGUCGUCGGCAACCUACCAGCGAGCUCGAGCCUCGCUUGGCCUGUUGCUGGCCAGUGGCUAAGGAAUGAAGAAAAAGAAAGAAAAAAGAAAAAGAAAAAAGAAAAGAAAAAAUUGAAAUAUGAAAAAUAAUUAUAAUUUCAAUUUUUUUUUUUUAUAAAAAAACAUUUUUAUAAAUUUAAAAAAUGACAUGGGUUUAAAGUGGGUUUCCUAAUAAUCCAUUUAUACCCAUUUCUUUUUGUGUUUUACUUUCUUAAACCCAUUUCUGACCCAUAUUUAACUUUCACGUGACUCAUAUAUGAUCCAUUUAACCAAAAAAAAAAAAAAAAAACUUAAAAUGGGUCAUAAUAUGGGUUUAUGACCCAUUUUGCCAACUCUAAUGAUAACUGGUGUAGGUUGUCUCUCCAAGCCUUAACAACUAGUGGAGGUGUCAACUGAUUUUGUCCUUUCCUGGUAGGGAAGACAGAACCCUAGAAAAGUCAAUUAGAGAGUUGGUUUUUUGAAAGGGUCAUUUAGGUUACAUCCAUGGAUGUGUAAUUGUAUAAACUAAGAUUAUGUCUGGUCAUUUGAAUUUCAUUUGUAGAUAGGAUAUGAUUGAAUAAGAUAAGAUGUAAAAUUUAAAAAUUUUACUAUAUCAUCUCUACUAUUUAGUGAAUCGUAAUAAUAAAACUGGAUAUUUGCAUAUCCUAUCAUGUCCAUUGUUUAAUAAAUCGCAGUAAUAAAAUCGAAUAUUUGUAUAUCCCACCAUGUCCAUUAUUUGGUAAGACUGACAUAUUUAUAUAAAUGAAUCUAAAAAUUACAUAAACGGAGACAGUAAGAAUUCAUUACUAUUCUCUUGCAUUUUCCAUUUAUAUUUGCUGCCUCUUUUCUUCUUUAAUUUUUUCCGCCCCUUCCAUUAUUCUCAAAUAAAAUUUAAUUAAAUAAUAUAACUAUAAUAAUAUACCUAAAAUGAGUAAUAAAUAUAAAUACUAAAUAUAUAUUGCAUUUGUAUUAAAAAAUAGAAAGACAUUCAAAUACAUAAAUAAGAUAGGAAUAAAUAAAAACGAAAUUGUUGUUAUUUUAUUAUUAUUUUGAAUUUUUUAUAGUAAAAUAUUAUUUUAAUUAUUAAUUUAAGAAAUUUGUUAUUCGAUAAAGAUAACUUUUGUAUUAUGGAUAUUUGAAAUCCUAUUCAUUUUUAUCUCACUUUUCAUAUAAUAUAUUUUUUCUCCGAACUAUAUAAUUAUUAUAUUGAACUUUAUCCUAUUUUGGGUAGAAACCAAACAUAAGAUAGGAUAAAUGUUAUAUUGGCUAAGGCUGCGCAUGACAACGCUUCUAUUCCCGGGAAUAGUUUUUUUUUUUUUUUUUUUCAGAAAUAGUUCUUUUCUAUUUCUGUUCCGGGGAACAAUUUCUAAGUAAAAGAACCCGUUUGGUAAGGACACAAAAUUUCUACUCUUGGAAUAGAAAAAGAAUAGAAAUGCGUUUGGUAACGAAACAAUUUCUUUUUUGUAUUUAUUCAUUUUUUAUUUUUGCUGACGGAUCGCCGCCACUGCCGCCGCCACCGCCAGGCAGCGACGGCGACCGGCGGCACCAGCGACCGUGGCGGCGGCGGCGGCGGCAGGCAGCGGUGGCGGUGGGCAGUGGCUCCGGGCAGUUAAUGAUGGCCGCGGCAAGAAAAGAAAAUUAAAAAAGAAAAUCAGCUUACUUCUAGAAAUUGUUCUCGGGAACAAGAAGCAACUUUUUUUUGCUUCUCAAAACUGUUCCUGGGAACAAUACGAGAACAAAAAUUAGAGAAAUUGUUCCUGGGAACAAAUGUUUUACCAAAUAGGUUUCUGUUCUUUUUUUGUUCUGGGGAACAAAAGAACAAAAAUUGGGAGAAACAGGAGCAUUACCAUGCGCUACCUAAAUGUAACCAGACCACCCCCUUAGGCAAAAAUGUGAACCAGAUGACCCCCACGGCUCCCCCGAAUCUCCUGCAGUGAGCUGUCGGUAGGCUAUUGGCCAGCACCCUUGUGUCCCGGUGCGCUCGCCCGUACCCGAUCCAACGCGCGCACGAAUAGCGAAAUCGAGCUGUCAAAAAGCAGGAUGCUUUCCUUAUUUCCGCAGCCGAAGAGACAGCUCUCGAACUUCUUCCUUCUUCUUCCUCCUUCUGCAGAAGCGUGUUGCGCAUACCUUAACGCAUUCAAGGAUUCGGAUUCCCGCAAGAUGUCAGGCACAGAAGACGGCCAAAGCACACCUCGCCGUAGCCAAUGGUGCCGCCGUCCGCCCCGGCGGCGGCGGCCACGGACUUCGAGAGCCCGGUCCCUUCGCCUCCGGUUGCGGGGGCGGGGUUGCGGAUGGGGGUGCCAAUGAUCGUGAGGCGAUGGAGGAGGGACGAUCUGAUCCAGAAGGGUUCCCUAGUGCUCCGGGGGCUAGCCUUGCUGUUCUCGCUGCUCAACUUCAUCAUCAUGACGAGCGACAAGCACGGCGACUGGAAGGACUUCGACAGAUACAAGGAAUUCAGGUCUGACUUUGACGUCUCUCUCUGUGUCUCUCUUUCUGUCACUCUCGCUCUCUCUCUCUUUUGAUCGAUUUGCGGAUGUGGGUUGUUGGUGUUUUGUUGAAAGUUUUGGUUUUUAGAAGUGCACAUCAAUUCUUGAACUUGGCGAUAAUUGUUUUCGGGUGUAGGAUAAUAGCUUGUAGAAAUUUUAGCAGUUUGAAUGAUGGAUUGAAAGGCAUUCAGGACUGCACCGAAAGAAAUCAAAGAGGAUAAAGGAAGAGAAAAAUAUUGAGACCGAAGACGUAGAACUUUGGGAAUUUUGUGUAUAUUGUCUUCUAUGAAUAAUUUGAUGUACAGCUUCUAGUAGUUAUAAUACAAGAUGUAUGUAAUGAAUCGAAGUUAGAGAUUCUAUGAAUCAAUCUAAUCUAGAUCUAAUCUUUAAUUGAUUUGUACAGAAUUGUAAUCGGAUCAAAUCCUCUAUCAAAUAUCACGAGCUACGUCGCAUAUCUUCCAACAUUCGCUCUCAAACUGGUGGCUUGUAGAUAUCUAAGACGCCUAGCUUGUUUAAUAGAUAUGCGUGCUGUCUUUAACACAGAUUUGGUGAAAAUGUCCGCAGGCUGCUCUGUUGUUCCAAUUCCUCUUGUUUCAAUUACUCCUUAUAAAAUUUCGUCUCGUGUAAAAUGACAAUUCACUUCUAUAUACUCGGUUCUCUCAUGUAUUAUAAGAUUUGUUGCAAGUUUCAGAGCCGCAUCAUUAUCGCAGAAUAGCUUUGUUGUCCCUUGUACUUGUACUCCGAGAUCUUUAAGAAGACCUCGUAUCCACAUUAUUUGACAAGUAGUUUUGGCCAUAACUUGAUAUUCUGCUUCAGCUGAAGAUGAAGACACAAUUGGUUGCUUCUUGGUCUUCCAUGAGAGUAAUGAUUCUCCCAAUUUAAUGCAAUAUCCAAUAACGGAUCUUCAACUCAUGGGAUAAGUUGCAUAAUCUGCAUCACAAUAUGCUGUCAUUUCCGUGUUGCAUUUUCUGGAUAGGAGAAUCCCAAGUCCUGGACACUUCUUUAGAUAUUUGACGACCUUCAAGGCAGCAUUCAUAUGUGAUUGCUUCGAACUGUGCAUGAACUGGCUAAGUGUUUGUAUCGCAUAAGAAAUGUUGGGUUUGGUCAUCGUCAGAUAUAUAAGUUUUCCGACGAACCUUUGAUAGCUUGAAGGAUCUUCCAGUGUGGAAUCAUCAUCUUGAAGCAUUCCCUUGUCAUAAUCUACGGUAGUCAACUUAGUGUUAUGUUCAAUGGGAAUAAUGGCUGGCUUGUAUCCUGAUAGACCUGCUUCUGAUAUAAUCUCCAAUAUAAAUUUUCGCUAACUGAGGGAAAUCAUUUGGUCAAAUCGAGCAAUUUCAAUACCAAGGAAAUACUUAGGUGCUCCUAAGCCCUUAAUAUGGAAGGUGACAUGCAAAUAUUCCUUAAAGCUUUCUAUGGCAGCUUUAUCAUUUCCCAUAAUAAGGAUGUCAUCGACAUAUAUCAUCAAAUAAAUAGAUGACAUACCUUUAAUCCGCGUAAAUAAAGCAUAAUCAUGUUUAGACUGUUUAAAGCCUGAUGUUGAAGAGCAUUGGCAAAUUUUGCGUACCACUGCCUAGAAGCUUGUUUCAACCCAUAAAGAGAUUUACGGAGGCGACACACUUUAUUCUCCCCUUAUCUCUGUAAGCCCUGAGAAAUAUCCAUAUAGAUUUCUUUGUCCAAGUCACCAUGAAGAAAGGCAGUGUGCACAUCUAUUUGAUGUAAAGGCUAGUCGUGAAUAGCAGCAACUGUCAAGAAUGAUCGGACUGUGACAUCUUUAGCUAUAGGAGAUAAUGUCUUGUGAUAGUCAAAUCCUUCUCGUUGAGUGAAUCCUUUGGCCACCAAUCGUGCCUUAUAUCUUUCAAUGGAGCCAUUAGCACAAUGUUUAAUUUUGUAAACUCAUUUGCAGCCAAUUAGUUUACAAUUUGGUGGCAGCGAAACUAGAUCCCAGGUCUUAUUAUCAAUCAAUGCUUCCAUGGCCUUUUGCCAUCAUGGAUCAGCAGAUGCCUCAUCAUAGCUAGAUGGUUCCCUAUCUUCUGACAAGCGACUAACAUAACAUCUAUGUUUCGGUGAUAGUUUAUGAGAUUGGAAACAUAGGAUGAGAUUGGAUAUUUGAUACCUGGUGAAUUGAGAGUGGCACACAUAUAAUCCUUUGUCCAGGUUGGAGGUCGUGUAGCCCGACCAUAACGUUUUGGAGGAUCAUCUUUUGGAGGGGAAGAUGUCUCUCUGGAUGACAUUGGUAAAAUAUCCUGGAUUUCUUCAUCAGCAGAAGAAUCUUCCAUUGAAUUCCCUAGAAUAUUCUCUGAAUUCGGAUUCUCAUCCGAAAUAGGUGCUGCUGCCGGAAUACUCAUGGGCAUAGAAGGAGCAUUGGCCGGUGUUGCUAAUGGUAUAUAAUCAGGAUCUUGAUAUGUUGCUUCAUCAGAUAAAGAAGUACGAGGAAUAGUGAUUAUACCUGAAUCUUCAUGUGGUGAUAUCUGUUCACUAAAUGGAAAAACAUUUUCAUGAAAGAUAACAUCUCUACUUACCAAGAAUUCCUUUGUAGAUAGCUCAAGAACACGAUACCCCUUCUGUAGAUUGGGAUAUCCCAUGAAUAUGCAACGUCGAGCACGAGGACUCAUCUUGUCCCAGGGGCCCACUAUGAUGACAUAACAUAAACAUCCAAAAACUUUGAGAUGUUUCAGCUCCGGCUUCUUCCCAAAUAGUAGUUCAAAAUGUGUUCGCCCAUUGAGUAUCCGAGUAGGCAUGCGGUUGAUUAAAUAAGCUGCUGUAAUAACACAAUCUCCCCAAUAUUCCUCUAGGACUGAUGCUUGGAAUUUCAGGGCUCGAGCGACUUCUAAAAGGUGAUGAUGUUUACGCUUAACUAUUCCAUUCUGUUGUGGUGUAUAGACGCAAGAGCUUUCAUGUUGGAUCCCAUGAGAUGAAAAUAAUGAAGAGCAAUCAUGGUUGAAGAAUUCCCUUCCGUUAUUAGUACGGAUCCGAUGAAUGGAUUUUCCAAAUUGAUUUUUGGAAAGUGCAAUGAAUGUUUUUAAAUGAGAAUAAACUUGGCUUUUGGACUGCAUAAAAAAAAAUCCAUGUUGCACGAGAAUAAUCAUCUACUAUUAUAAGGAAGUAACGAGACCCAUCGUGAUUUAUCGUAUGGUAAGUCCCCCAAACAUCCACAUGAAUUAACGAGAAAAUUUCACUAGCACAAGUGCUCCUAGAGGGAAAAGGGGUACACGACUAUUUCAUAAGAGGACAUAUGGAACAUUGAGGACAAGGAAAGGAGGCACUGUGACCCAUUCUCAAGUGCAUAAUGAAAUUCUUAUCAUUAGUAGUCAAAUUACACAAUGAUGGUUUAUUGAAAGAUGUGCAAGAUAAAUCAAAAUUACUAGGAAAAUUUGUCCAGAAAAAUAGUCCUUCAGAAAGACUACUCAAGCCCAUUAGUCUGCUAAUUGAAAGGGGCUGAAAGAAACAUGUGCCAACAUCAAAGAAUACCCGACAUGAAUUUUCUUUGCACACUUUUGACAUGGAAAUGAUAUUAAAUUGGAACUCUGGGACAUAAAGGACGUUUUGAAGGGUAAUUUGAGGGCUGAGAUUGAUUGUUCCUGUCACAUUCACAUGAGUAAUAUUUCCAUUGGGUAAUUUUACGGAAAUGAGAAAAUUCAACACUUCGUUUAUACUUGAGAAAUAUCCUUUGUCACAUAUAAUGUGAUCACUUGCUUCUGAAUCAAUAAUCCAUGCCCUCAUUGAAAUGGAAUUAAUCAAGCAAUGUAUGAUACCUGAAAAACUCCCUCCUUUGUUGGAAGUAUCCAACUUUUGCAAUGCAUGUAUCAGCUGUUGAUAUUGACCAUAUGAGAUAGGUUGGUCAACAUUCUGGCCUGUAGGUCCAGUGACUUGGUAAGCAACUAGAAUUUUUUUCUCUUUUUUUCCAAGCUUUCUAUGUAAUUUCCAAUAGUUGUCAAUCAUAUGGUUAGAACGUUUGCAAUAAUCGCAAAACAUUUUACCCUUUCCUUUAAAUUUGAUCUAGAAUUCUUUGAUGACGUGGCAAAGAUCUAACCAUCCAUUCCUUUUGUCGAGAACUCAUAUCCACUGUACGAUCCAUCUGCGAUCUCGGACUCGUGCAGGACAUCCGAUCCUCGUGCCCAAUCUAGACCAUCAGAUCCUCACGCCCAAUCUAGGCCGUUCAUUCCAUCCCUUUUAAGGGAUCGCAUUUCUGCUCCCCCGAACGCUAGCGUGCCCCUCUUUUCUUUCUCUUGGAUUAGGGUUCUGGAGGAACCAUCGUGCCAUUUGCCAUAGGCUGCGAAGGUGAUACUGUCACUGCUCCUCGCGUGUUCCGACGAUGUGAUCCGUUGGCUCUCCUCCUGUACAGCCACCUGGAAAAUUCUUUCGGUUGGAGAUACUUGAUCCAUGGUCAGAAUCUGUGAACGAAAGGUAAUGUAAGAUUCAUUCAAAAUCAGUAGGAAGCGUGUAGUCUUCUCCCUUUCUUUGAUGAUCUGUACUGUUUGAGUGUUGAUUCUGGUCCCUCGAGCUUUUCUUCAACUGCUUCUAGAUCGUUCCAUAAUGACGAUAGCUUGUUGAAGUAAGUUGUGACCAUCAUGUUUCCCUGUUUGAGCCCGCUGAGUUCAUACAUGAGGGAGAAAAUUUUUGCUCGAUCUAGUUUACCAUACAUCUCCUUAAUAUUUUCCCACAUGUUUCGAGCAUCCUCUGUUGGUGGAAGUCUGGCCGCAACAUCUGGAGAUAUGCAAUUUCUGAUCCAGGUUUGGACAAGUUGGUUGCACUUCCUCCGAUGUCAGGCUAGGCGCUCAUCCAAGGGAACGGCGAUGGUUCCAUUGAGGAACCCAUCUUUAUCCUUCGUUACCAGUGCGCGCCAGAGCUCCUGUGACCACCAAGAGUAAUUUUCUAGCCCGGUCAACUGUUGGUUGAUUAGUUGCAGUUCUGGUCCGUUGGCGGUGGAGACGAACAGGGGGUCACCGGGUUCUUGUCGUCCGGUGAGAGUUGCCGCUGGGUAUGGCAGAAAUCCGGGUGAAAAUCCCGGGUAGGGAUUUGUUCUCAUACCGGGAUUAUUCGACCCGGUUCCAUAACCCGCAUUGAAAACGGUCAGAUAUGGAUUUGUUCCAAUACCUAAUCCUUUCAAUCCACUUGCCUGCCUCGCAGUUGCUGCAUCCGACCCAAUGGUCGUGCUUACCCCCUUUACGGUUGGUGGGCUACCGUCGGGUUGGAAGGAGGCCCAUUGGCUCUAAAUCCCUUGCGAUGAUGCAUUCGAGCUUAGCCCAAACAAUCAUGGGUUGGGCUGCAUCUGAAAUGGCAGCCAUUGGUAAGGAUGGCCGAUCAUCGGUUGGCCCGAAAUGGGUUGAACCAAGAAGGGUUGCCUUAGAUUUGUCUAAGCUAGAAGAGAUUGACCAUAUAGGCUAGAAGAGAUUGACCAUAUAGGGCCCAAGCAAGUUGUUCUUGAGAUCUAGCGACAUCAAUAGUGGAAGUGGCGUCCUGGCUUUCUACAGGUUGCACUGGAUUUCCUUCUUGCGGAUUUUCACCAGAGGCUGAAGGUAAGUUUUUCGUCAUGGUAAAAAAUUCCUUGCUGAGAUGUCGAGUCUUGUAUGCAGGAUUGAAGAAUCUCAGCAGGGACAAGAUUAAAAGGAGCAGAAGCAAGAUCAUAAGCUUUUUACUGCUCUAAUACCAUGAAAGAAAUCAAAGAGGAUAAAGGAAGCGAAAAAUAUCGAGACCGAAGACGUAGAACUUUGGGAAUUUUGUGUAUAUUGUCUUCUAUGAAUAAUUUGAUGUACAGCUUCUAGUAGUUAUAAUACAAGAUGUAUGUAAUGAAUGGAAGUUAGAGAUUCUAUGAAUCAAUCUAAUGUAGAUCUAAUCUUUAAUUGAUUUGUACAGAAUUGUAAUCAGAUCAAAUCCUCUAUCAAAUAUCACAAGCUACGUCACAUAUCUUCCAACAUGCACUGUGGCACAAAAGUUUUUGGAUUUGCAGUACACUUUUUUUUGCUGGAUUCUAGGAAAGUUUUUUUGGGAUUGAACUGGAGAUUUUCGCCCAGGUAUCUGUUGGCGAUAUUGAUCCUGGCGACCCUGUACACCGAAGUGCAGGCGUUGCGGCAUGUCCACCAGAUUUCCAUUGGGCAGGAUCUCGUCAAGCGCCAGAUGUCGGCACUGAUCGACUUCGCCAGCGACCAGUGUUGGCUGGGUCCACCUUCAUGUGGGGCCCAGCCAGCACUAACAAUAAAAUUAAAAAAAAAAAGGAAAAAGAAAAGAAAAGAACAAAAAGAAGUGGAAGUUGUCGUACGUGGGGUGUCAUUCGAAAAGUGAAGAGAGGAGAGAGAAAAGGAAAACAAAAAUUGCACAAGGAAGGAAGAAGAAGGAAGAGGGCUGCAACUUUGCGGCUUUGAUUCAAAGGCCAAAUAUUGACGGAAUCGGCUCAAAUUUCAGUAUGUUGUUCGUGAGAUCGAGGGCUACAAGUUGAUGGUUUUUGUUCGUCGAGAACCGUCUCCGAAUCCUCCAAUUGCGGCUAAGGUUUUCUUGCUCCAAACUUAUUUGUCUACCUAUGUGGUGGGAAAAAAUGAUUGUAAUGUUGAUGUUGAGCCUCUAGUGUGUGACUAGAGAAGAAUACUUUGUGUAUCCUGCUAUUCUUGGUGAUUAGUGGAUAUUUUUGGGCGGUCCGUGGUUUUUCCCACAUCGGGUUUUCCACGUUAAAUCCUUGGUGUCGUUAUUUUCUUUGUCUACUUAUCAUUUCAGCGUUAUAUUUGCAUUUUGUGAGGCUAUACAUUGCUGGUUGUUGCUGGGGGUUAAGAAAAUUUAGUUGAUUUUGCUUCCGGGGAGAAAUUGAUCAUGGAUUGCGUUUGGCUGUGGUGAAUUGUUGUACUCGAGUUCUCUCCAACAAGUGGUAUCAAAGCACGGUUGAAUUUUAGUGUUAAAUGGAAGAAACCAGCAGCACCAUGUUUAAGUUAAAUGCCUCGAAUUAUUCUAUUUGGAAGCCUCGGAUGGAAGAUGUGUUAUAUUGCAAAGACUUAUUUGAUCCUAUUGAGGGUGAUGAAGCCAAAGGAGAUAAGGAAGACAAAGAAUGAGAGAGAAUGAAUCGGAAAACGGUUGGGUUUAUCCGACAAUGGAUUGAUGAUAGUGUGUUUCAUCAUGUUGCUCAAGAAACAAAGGCGGACACUUUGUGGAAGAAAUUACAAGAUCUUUAUGAGAGAAAAACUCCACAAAAUAAAGCUUUUCUAGUUAAGCGACUUGUGAAUUUGAGAUACAAAGAGGGGAGUAACAUGUCGGAACACUUGAGUGAAUUUCAAGAUGUUGUAAAUCAAUUGACAAAUCUUGAGAUUGAUCUUGGUGAUGAAUUGCAGUCAUGCUUAUUACUUGGUACUCUUCCUGAUAGUUGGGACACUUUGGUUGUGGCAUUAAAUAACUCGGCUCCUUUUGGUGUGCUUUCUAUGAGCAUGGUUAAAGAAAGCUUGUUCAAUGAAGAAACAAGAAGAAAAGGCUUGAAUUAUGCCUCUACAUCAGAUGCUCUUGUUAUAGAAAACAGGGGGAGAAGUCAAUCAAGAAGGUUUCAAAGAAAUAAUACUCGAGGCAAGUCAAGAGGAAGGUCGAAAUCAAGAUCGAGGAGGAGUGUCAAGUGUUAUAAUUGCGGCAAAAUGGGACACUAUGCAAAAGAGUGUUGGUUGCCAAAGAGAGAUAGAUUCCAUGAUAGAAAUGGAGAUCAAAAGAAAGAAGAGAAACAAGCUACAACGGCGGUUGCAUCCGAUGGCGAUAUUGUGUUUGUAUGUGAUGACGGAUAUGUGAAUUUUACAUGCCAAGACUUUAUGUGGGUUGUUGAUUCCGCAGCUUCUUUUCAUGUCACCUCACGGCGUGAUUACUUUGCUUCUUAUCGCAGCGGCGACUUUGGUUGCAUAAGGAUGGGAAAUAGUGAUGUUUCCAAGGUUAUUGGCAUGGGAGAUGUUUAUUUGGAAACCGAUGUCGGAUGUAAUUUGCUUUUGAAAAAUGUGAGACAUGUCCCGGAUAUUAGACUUCACUUGAUCUCUACGGGUGCCUUAGAUGAUGAUGGUUAUUGUAAUUCAUUCUUUGAUGGCAAAUGGAAGUUGACUAAAGGUUCCAUGGUAGUGGCAAAAGGUAAGAAGACAGGCUCUCUCUAGACCAUGCAAGCUGACUUGAUUAAAGAAGAGGUAAAUGCAGUGGAGGAUUCCUUGGUUGAUUUAUGGCAUAUGAGGCUGGGCCAUCUUAGCAAGAAAUGACUUGAAACUCUUGCUAGAAAGAACCUUUUACCUUUGAAAGAGAAAAAUCUAAAGUAAUGCACUCAUUGUCUGACUGGUAAGCAACAUAGAUUCUCAUUUCAGAGUUCCUCUCCACACAGGAAAUUAAAUGUACUUGAUUUAGUUCACACUGAUGUUUGUUGCAUGGAUGCUAGAACUCUUGGAGGUGCAUUAUACUUUGUGACAUUUAUUGAUGACUGUUCUAGAAAAGUGUGGGCUAUUGCUUUGAAAUCUAAAAAUCAGGUACUUGAGGCUUUCAAGCAAUUUCAUGUCAAUGUGGAAAGAGAAACCGGGAAGAAGCUGAAAUGUGUUCGGGCUGACAACGGUGGUGAAUAUAGAGGCCCAUUUGAACACUAUUGUAGGGAUUAUGGUAUCAAGCUUGAGAAGACUGUUCCAAAAACACCACAGCAUAAUGGAGUGGCAGAGAGAAUGAACCGGACAAUUAAUGAUCGGAUUCGGUGUAUGCUUUCUCAUGCGAAGUUGUCUAAGUCAUUUUGGGGUGAAGCGAUGAGAACAUCAGUAGACUUGAUAAAUCUUUCUCCAUCGGUUCCUCUUAAGGGGGAUGUUCUGCAAAGAGUUUGGAGUGGCAAAGAUGUUUCCUACAGCCAUCUAAAAGUGUUCGGUUGUCGGGCAUUUGUGCAUGUUCCAAGAGAUGAAAGAUCCAAGCUUGAUGACAAGUCUAAACAGUGUAUCUUCUUAGGUUAUGGACAUGAAGAGUUUGGUUACAAGUUAUGGGAUCCAGUUGCAAAGAAGGUCAUUAGAAGCCGAGAUGUGGUGUUUUGUGAGUAUCAAACUAUUGAAGACAUUGACAAGGUGGAGAGACCAAAGAAUACAGCUCAACGUUCAGUUAGUUUCAGCCCAAAUCCUUCUAAUGUUGAUAGAAAUCAUGGAGAAGAAGUGCAAGGAAGUCAUGAAGAUGGUGAGUCCUCACAUAAUGUUGAUUCUUCAGCUGAUACAGGUGAAAUAACUGAGGAAGAGCAAUCUAUCAUACUUCAAGUUAGAAGAUCUGAAAGAGAGUGUAGGCCUUCUCAAAAACAUUUGCCACAUGAGUAUGUGUUACUCACUGAUGCAGGGGAGCCAGAAACUUAUGAAGAGGCAAUAUCAUGUGAAAGAAAGAAUGAGUGGCAUGAAGCCAUGCAAGAGGAGCUUAAAUCCCUGCAUGAGAACCACACAUUUGAAUUGGUGAGGUUGCCUCAGGGUAAGAGAACACUCACAAAUAAGUGGGUGUACAAGUUGAAGACGGAAGAAAAUAGUUUACAACCACGAUACAAGGCUAGACUUGUUGUGAAGGGCUUUCGUCAAAAGAAGGGCAUAGACUUUGAAGAGAUUUUUUCACCGGUUGUAAAGAUGUCUUCUAUUCGAGUUGUUCUUGGGUUGGCCGCCAGUUUAAAUUUAGAAAUUGAACAACUUGAUGUAAAGACGGCUUUUCUUCAUGGAGACCUAGAAGAGGAGAUAUAUAUGGAGCAACCAGAGGGUUUUGAAGUUGAAGGCAAGGAGCACCUUAUUUGUAGAUUGAGGAAAAGCUUAUAUGGUCUCAAGUAAGCGCCUAAGCAAUGGUAUAUGAAGUUUGAGUCAUUCAUGGAAGAACAAGGAUACGGUAAGACAAAUUCCGAUUCUUGUGUUUUUAUGAAAAGAUUCUCAGAUAAUGAUUUUCUUAUUCUCCUACUUUAUGUGGAUGAUAUGUUGAUUGUUGGGCAUGAUGCCAAGAAAAUCAAGAGUUUGAAAAAUGAGUUGAGUAAAGCUUUUGCAAUGAAAGACCUAGGCCCGGCUAAGCAAAUCUUAGGCAUGAGAAUUACUCGUGAUAGGAAGAAUAAGAAAUUGUGGUUAUCUCAAGAGAAGUAUAUUGAGAAGGUGCUUGAAAGAUUUAACAUGAGCACAUGUAAACCGGUGAGUACUCCACUUGCAGGCCAUUUCAAGUUGAGUAGUAAUGAGUGUCCUUCAAGUGAGAAAGAGAAGGUUGAGAUGAUGAAAAUUCCUUAUGCAUCGGCCGUGGGUAGUUUGAUGUAUGCCAUGGUUUGUACAAGACCGGAUAUUGCUCAUGUAGUUGGUGUUGUGAGUAGAUUUCUCUCUAAUCCAGGUAAGGAGCAUUGGACCACUAUUAAAUGGAUUUGAGAUAUCUUAGAGGCACUUCUACACUUUGCUUGUGCUAUGGAAAUGCAAAGCCUGAGUUGAGUGGUUUCUCGGAUGCGGACUAUGCCGGUGUUGCUCAUGUAGUUGGUGUUGUGAGUAGAUUUCUCUCUAAUCCAGGUAAGGAGCAUUGGACCACUGUUAAAUGGAUUUUGAGAUAUCUUAGAGGCACUUCUACACUUUGCUUGUGCUAUGGAAAUGCAAAGCCUAAGUUGAGUGGUUUCUCGGAUGCGGACUAUGCCGGUGAUGUUGAUUCCCGAAAAUCCACAUCGGGUUUUAUAAUAAUCUUUGCAGGGGGAGCUGCUUCAUGACAAUCGAGAUUGCAAAAAUGUACCGCUUUGUCUACAACUGAAGCGGAGUAUAUUGCUAUUAUCGAAGGAGGUAAAGAACUUUUGUGGAUGCAAAAAUUCCUACAAGAGUUGGGCUUGAAACAAGAGAAGUUUGUUCUAUAUUGCGAUAGCAUGAGUGCCAUCCAUCUUAGCAAGAAUCCAGUGUUUCAUUCAAGAUCGAAGCAUGUUGAUGUGAAGUAUCAUUGGAUCCGAGAAAAGCUAGAAGAUAAGCUCUUCCUACUUGAGAAAGUUCAUAUCGACAACAAUAAGUUCGACAUGAUGACCAAAGCCUUGCCUGUGAUGAAGCUUGAUGCUUGUAGAAGAAAAGCGGGCAUGAUGAAUCUUCCCACAUGAGGUGGAGGGGGAGAUUUGUUAGCUAGGUCCACCUUCAUGUGGGGCCUAGCUAGCACUAACAAUAAAAUUAAAAAAAAAGGAAAAAGAAAAGAAAAGAACAAAAAGAAGUGGAAGUUGUCGUACGUGGGGUGUCCGUCGAAAAGUGAAUAGAGGAGAGAGAAAAGGAAAAAAAAAAUUGCACAAGGAAGGAAGAAGAAGGAAGAGGGCUGCAACUUUGCGGCUUUGAUUCGAAGGCCAAAUAUUGACGGAAUCAGCUCAAAUUUCAGUAUGUUGUUCGUGAGACCGAGGGCUACAAGUUGAUGGUUUUUGUUCGUCGAGAACCGUUUCCGAAUCCUCCAGUUGCGGCUAAGGUUUUCUUGCUCCAAACUUAUUUGUCUACCUAUGUAGUGGGAAAAAAUGAUUGUAAUGUUGAUGUUGAGCCUCUAGUGUGUGACUAGAGAAGAAUACUUUGUGUAUCCUGCUAUUCUUGGUGAUUAGUGGAUAUUUUUGUGCGGUCCGUGGUUUUUCCCGCAUCGGGUUUUCCACGUUAAAAUCCUUGGUGUCGUUAUUUGCUUUGUCUACUUAUCAUUUCGGCGUUAUAUUUGCAUUUUGUGAGGCUAUACAUUGCUGGUUGUUGCUGGGGGUUAAGAGAAUUUAGUUGAUUUUGCUUCCGGGGAGAAAUUGAUCCUGGAUUGCGUUUGGCUGUGGUGAAUUGUUGUACCCGAAUUCUCCCCAACAACCAGGUGGGUCAUCGGUCCUUGUCAUGCUUUCAUUUCGUGUUCUAGUCAUUUUUACUAUCGCUGUUGUUGGAACGUGGCGAAGACAAAGUCAUCUUCUAUCAUCCAGGUCAUUUUCCCUAGACAGUAUCCUGUGAAAAGGCUUAUCUGCUUUACUAGGAAUGACAGAUUUUCUGAGAUGUUCGAAUAGAGAGGGUGAAGAGAAAGAGCACAUAUUUGCCAUUCAAGUAUCCGAAAGCUUGCGAAAAUUCGAAGAUAGAUUUGGGUAAAUGAAGUUUUCGAUGUGGAGAGAUGAAUCGCUUUGAAAUUCAUCGAUUACUCGUCGUGUGCCUUUUUCCUGGCCAACUUUCUAUCUGUUUCGACCGAGGUCACAAAGUCCCCCUUCUUUUGUUCAAAAGUCUUCAAUUCAACCUGAGUUACAUCAUUGUCAGCAUUCGAGAACAUGGGACCAAAUUCCAUCUGUAAAAGCCAGACCUUUUCGUUGCACAAUUAGUCAAUUAGACAAGAACAGAUCACAUGGAAUGUCUAAGCUCUGUCUUAAUCAUUGGGUUUCCCAUUCAUUUUGCUGGCCCCAAACAUACUCUUUGCGUGGUCCUCAUUAAGAAGAGAAAUUUAGAUUUAUAGUACUGGGUUAUAGCAAUCACUUGCCAGAGGAGGUGGGAUGGAGUUGACCAAAAAGGAUCCAGAGCCCAUAUGUUCC